This is a long non-coding RNA of Chionomys nivalis (European snow vole), 3611 nucleotides long. RefSeq lists it as uncharacterized. The record is from RefSeq and is a predicted model, not a curated record. Lineage: Eukaryota; Metazoa; Chordata; Mammalia; Rodentia; Cricetidae. The transcript has 4 exons.
UAAUAGAGUAUGACACAAUGAAAUUCACCAAGGUGAUUAGGAAAGUUUCCAGAAAGAUUUUGCCUGUAAAUAUUAUAUUGUACAUAAAGUAUAAAAACAUAAUUUUUGGGGCUCUAACUUUCUGAAUAAUUAAGGCUAUUUAUUACAGGCCUUAUGUUCCAAGUAAUUGUUGGUCACAGAGGACUUACAAACUUCUAAAUCUAUAAAGAGUGCUAUGAUACUUACGAUUGCAUUCCAGGAUGAAAUGAACAUGAUUUCUAUGAUCAGAAACUGACUAAUUUCCAUGAUAUAUUUGGAAAACUAAAAAUAAACCCUAGAAAUUGGCUCAAAUAUUCCCCUCCUUGAGCUAGACCCUCUAGUUCAAUAGGAACUAAUGAUGAAUUUGUGAACAUUAAUCACCAUGUCAUAAUCAUUUUUUGUGGAUCUUAUAAUCAUUACUUGUGGAUAUUUCAUGUUUCAUAUCAAUUAAGUUUUUCAAAGAAGCAAAGUUUUAAUGAAUUAAAUGUGUACUACAGUCAAGCAAAAACAGUAUUUUUAGAGCAUCAUGAUAAAGUAGUCCCACAUCAUUUUGGCAUAGAGUAUAACAAAGGAUUCCUUAUUUAGGAGUAGCCUCUCAGAUCAACAGUCCUCUGCAUGAGCAGGGAACAGGGAACAAAAUCAGGCUGAUAAGAGGGAGAAAGUGAAUGUUUCUUGAUCUGUUGUUAUAAUAUGCCAAGACCUUGCCUAGAUGGACCAGCAUCCAAAAGCAUUAUCUUAAGAAGUUCCCAGCACACCUCUCCCUUUUGUUGAAAUAAGAGAGUUUUAAACCCAAUGUAAAACUAUAUACAAUAAGAACAGAUAUCGCAGAUAUCAAGUAUAAAAAUUGAAGCUACCCUGUCUUGAAAAACCAAAAAAAAAAAAAAAAUAGUUACACCCAUCAUAAACAAUAUCAAGAAAGAAAUGUAUUCUAAAGGUUUCAAUAAAUAUCCUAUCUUAAGAAACUAAGUCUUAUAUUUGAAAUCGAUUGGCCAACUCAUGAGAAAAAUGUAACUAUGACUACUUAGUAUUCAACCCUAUUGGAAACCUGAGAGGACAAUAAACAUAAAGUACAAAGAAGCAACUUACAAAAGUGCAAUAAAUGACAGAGGCAACAUUCUACAUAGGCAAUCACCCAAAGACUCAUUUUCAACAUUGGAGGAAAUAACAUUUCCUAAGACCUAGAUCACUGACAGACUAUUUUCAGAGGCAGGAAAAAAUUUAAAUUCAUCUUUGAUGGGGGUGGGUCUUGGAUUUAUCGGUUGCUUUUAUUGGUUAAUUAAUAAAGAAAACUGCUUGGCCCUGAUAGGACAGAAAAUUAGGUAGGCGAAGUAGACAGAACAGAAUGCUGGGAGAAAGAAGCCGAGUCAGGGAGUCGCCAUGAUUCUCCCACUCCAGACAGACGCAGGUUAAGAUCUUUCGUGGUAAGCCAGCUUGUGGUGCUACACAAAAUAUUAAAAAUGGGUUAGAUCAAUAUGUAAAAGUUAGCCAAUAAGAGGUUAUAACUAAUGGGCCAAGCAGUGAUUAAAAGAAUACAGUUUCCAUGUAAUUAUUUGGGGGCAUAAGCUAGCCAUGUGGGCGGCCGGGUGCCGGGGACGCAGCCCCGCCGCUCAUAUUACAACAGAGUAUAAAUAAUUUACAUUGGUAUGAUUUUAUGGUCAAUUUUGUUAUAAGUAUAUGUAUUUCUAAUCUUGAUUUAGGUAUUGUGAUUGUAUAGUUCAUUUAAAAAUGUAAUGUAUAUAGGUUGUUAAUGGAUAAUCAUUGAUAAUUGUCAAGCUUUUAGUCAUGUUAGUUAGAUUUUCUAGAUGUACAUAGAUAUAUUCCAGCUAGAUAGACAUUCUUCAUAUCUUUCAAAGACUACAGAAUAUGGCAUUUAAUGUUUUAAUAACUUAGGGCUUUUCAUGAUAAUGAGACACGUCUGCUCCUGGCAGCACCAAUCUACUUCAAAAGAAAGAUGGGCACCGAAGAGGCUUCUUAUGGAGUUUGAUAGCCAUUUGGACAUGAAACUGCUCAUGCCUGGACUGUUGCAUAAACUGCUAAACUUGCCUAAAGGUGAGAUGGAUUUUCGGGGUUCCUGACUCAUGAAAGAGUCUACAAGACAUUCUACAGGACACAACAAAAGGUAAACUACAUUAUUUCCUGCCAUCUGCUUUCACUUUCAUAUUUUUCUGCCGGAACAAACAUUGAGAUGGGAGCGAGAAAUGAGUCAGCAGCUCUGACGCAGAUCUCCAAGGGCUAAACAAGCAGGGUGGCUGGGAUGAACAAACAGCCCUUUUCUGAAACAAUUUGCGCACAAUGUGAUCAACUAAAUCAAUAAAAUAUAUGAACUACAAAAGCAAGUACCUUCUCUGAAACCAGCUUGCUUGAGAGAUACACAACACAUCUGGGUGUUUGCACUACUCCAGGUCUCUGCAUCAUUGCUUGAUCUAAACCAGCCUUGGGUAAGAAGAUGAGUGCUUUUGUGAUAAGAGGAGAUUUAAAGAGUUUCCAACUUCUGUGAAGGUAAUGUUGCUAAAUUCCUCAAGCUUCUUAGAUCCUGCUUUAUUAUGCCACCAGUUUCUACUUCUCAGCAUUGCUCACCGGAAGCAAAGGACUUGAAAACUCCCUAUUCUUGUUCUUAGCAGUGUCUACCCAUAGCUCUCUCUAGGCACAGGCUGCUCAUAAUCAAACAGUACUAUAAAUGUUUCCUCAUCUAACAGCUCCUGUGGUUGAUAGGAGUGUCCUGUCUCUCUUCUAACCACUGCAGGCUGAACUAUAUUUUACCUAUUAUGUGCAAAUACAAACUCUCCCUUAUGAGCCCCCACAAAUGAAAAGAAUACUUUGUGCUAAUUCCAUGUUAUAAUGGUCUUGGUAUUUCACCUCAAUUUUUCUGUGUUCAAAGUACCAUGCUUGGGAAAUCAAAGGGUGAGUUUCUCUGCAAAUUCUAAAAAUUUCUGUUUUUGAAACUGAUCCACCUAAGCUCCUCUAGCUUGUAAAUUAUCUCCAAGGCAAUUGCAUAGUCACUUAACGACUGAUUUUCUGUCACAAUACAAAUUUAUUUACAAUUAUAAUUCACCGUUAUUCAACUCAUGUUCACUUUUACUUUUUUUCCUAAGAACUUACUCUUUACUUAACACCUGUGGUAUCUUCCACUUUUUGGUAUUGAUCAGGCAAUAUGUCCAUAGUUCCAGUUUCACUUCUGAGGAGCCAUCACUUAUUGUCCUGACCUACCCAUUUCCAUACUUGUGGAAGGGAUGAGGAUUAAGAUCAAAAUUUACAAGAGAAAAUAUAUAGAUAUUGAAGGACACCCAGUGAAUACUGAUAUAUAUCUCAAGUUUUUUUGUUUUGUUUUGUUUUGUUGCUUUUUUCGAGACAGGGUUUCUCUGUGGUUUUGGAGCCUGUCCUGGAACUAGUACUUGUAGACCAGGCUGGUCUCAAACUCACAGAGAUCCACCUGCCUCUGCCUCCCAAGUGCUGGGAUUAAAGGUGUGUGCCACCACCGCCAGGCCAUGUCUCAAGUUUUUUAUUCAAAGUUCUUAUAUAACUCAGUCCAAAGAUGGUUUAAGAGGCAAGACAUCCUUGCCAUGAUACAAAGAACAAACAAAGUAAUAUUCUCU